GAAUCUGGGAGGACCAUCUCCUAAGGCUAAAUACUCUCUAGUGACCGAUAGUGAACCAGUACCGUGAGGGAAAGGUGAAAAGCACCCCGGAAGGGGAGUGAAAUAGAACCUGAAACCGUGUGCUUACAAGUAGUCAGAGCCCGUUAAUGGGUGAUGGCGUGCCUUUUGUAGAAUGAACCGGCGAGUUACGAUUUGAUGCAAGGUUAAGCAGUAAAUGUGGAGCCGUAGCGAAAGCGAGUCUGAAUAGGGCGUUUAGUAUUUGGUCGUAGACCCGAAACCAGGUGAUCUACCCUUGGUCAGGUUGAAGUUCAGGUAACACUGAAUGGAGGACCGAACCGACUUACGUUGAAAAGUGAGCGGAUGAACUGAGGGUAGCGGAGAAAUUCCAAUCGAACCUGGAGAUAGCUGGUUCUCUCCGAAAUAGCUUUAGGGCUAGCCUCAAGUGAUGAUUAUUGGAGGUAGAGCACUGUUUGGACGAGGGGCCCCUCUCGGGUUACCGAAUUCAGACAAACUCCGAAUGCCAAUUAAUUUAACUUGGGAGUCAGAACAUGGGUGAUAAGGUCCGUGUUCGAAAGGGAAACAGCCCAGACCACCAGCUAAGGUCCCAAAAUAUAUGUUAAGUGGAAAAGGAUGUGGCGUUGCCCAGACAACUAGGAUGUUGGCUUAGAAGCAGCCAUCAUUUAAAGAGUGCGUAAUAGCUCACUAGUCGAGUGACACUGCGCCGAAAAUGUACCGGGGCUAAACAUAUUACCGAAGCUGUGGAUUGUCCUUUGGACAAUGGUAGGAGAGCGUUCUAAGGGCGUUGAAGCAUGAUCGUAAGGACAUGUGGAGCGCUUAGAAGUGAGAAUGCCGGUGUGAGUAGCGAAAGACGGGUGAGAAUCCCGUCCACCGAUUGACUAAGGUUUCCAGAGGAAGGCUCGUCCGCUCUGGGUUAGUCGGGUCCUAAGCUGAGGCCGACAGGCGUAGGCGAUGGAUAACAGGUUGAUAUUCCUGUACCACCUAUAAUCGUUUUAAUCGAUGGGGGGACGCAGUAGGAUAGGCGAAGCGUGCGAUUGGAUUGCACGUCUAAGCAGUAAGGCUGAGUAUUAGGCAAAUCCGGUACUCGUUAAGGCUGAGCUGUGAUGGGGAGAAGACAUUGUGUCUUCGAGUCGUUGAUUUCACACUGCCGAGAAAAGCCUCUAGAUAGAAAAUAGGUGCCCGUACCGCAAACCGACACAGGUAGUCAAGAUGAGAAUUCUAAGGUGAGCGAGCGAACUCUCGUUAAGGAACUCGGCAAAAUGACCCCGUAACUUCGGGAGAAGGGGUGCUCUUUAGGGUUAACGCCCAGAAGAGCCGCAGUGAAUAGGCCCAAGCGACUGUUUAUCAAAAACACAGGUCUCUGCUAAACCGUAAGGUGAUGUAUAGGGGCUGACGCCUGCCCGGUGCUGGAAGGUUAAGAGGAGUGGUUAGCUUCUGCGAAGCUACGAAUCGAAGCCCCAGUAAACGGCGGCCGUAACUAUAACGGUCCUAAGGUAGCGAAAUUCCUUGUCGGGUAAGUUCCGACCCGCACGAAAGGCGUAACGAUUUGGGCACUGUCUCAACGAGAGACUCGGUGAAAUCAUAGUACCUGUGAAGAUGCAGGUUACCCGCGACAGGACGGAAAGACCCCGUGGAGCUUUACUGUAGCCUGAUAUUGAAAUUCGGCACAGCUUGUACAGGAUAGGUAGGAGCCUUUGAAACGUGAGCGCUAGCUUACGUGGAGGCGCUGGUGGGAUACUACCCUAGCUGUGUUGGCUUUCUAACCCGCACCACUUAUCGUGGUGGGAGACAGUGUCAGGCGGGCAGUUUGACUGGGGCGGUCGCCUCCUAAAAGGUAACGGAGGCGCUCAAAGGUUCCCUCAGAAUGGUUGGAAAUCAUUCAUAGAGUGUAAAGGCAUAAGGGAGCUUGACUGCGAGACCUACAAGUCGAG
Molecule: ribosomal RNA, 1949 nt
Filed under: Staphylococcus aureus
Lineage: Bacteria; Bacillati; Bacillota; Bacilli; Caryophanales; Staphylococcaceae
Description: partial 23S ribosomal RNA
Rfam family: Bacterial large subunit ribosomal RNA
Source: RNAcentral